RNAcentral lists this ribosomal RNA (199 nucleotides) under uncultured bacterium. RNAcentral describes it as "partial 16S ribosomal RNA". It matches the Rfam family "Bacterial small subunit ribosomal RNA", at positions 326 to 539 of the family's 1533-position model. The record is from RNAcentral.
ACGCUCGACACCUACGGGAAGCAGCAGUCGGGAAUAUUGCGCAAUGGAGGGAACUCUGACGCAGUGACGCCGCGUAUAGGAAGAAGGUUUUCGGAUUGUAAACUAUUUUAGACAGGGAAGAAUAAAGACAGUACCUGUAGAAUAAGCUCCGGCUAACUACGUGCCAGCAGCCGCGGUAAUCUGAGCGGGCUGGCAAGGC